GGCACAGACCCAGGUGGUGUAUGGUUCCUGC
This 31-nucleotide non-coding RNA is filed under the name Homo sapiens (human). The record is from RNAcentral. Lineage: Eukaryota; Metazoa; Chordata; Mammalia; Primates; Hominidae.